GGAAACGGUGGCUAAUACCGCAUAACGUCGCAAGACCAAAGAGGGGGACCUUCGGGCCUCUCACUAUCGGAUGAACCCAGAUGGGAUUAGCUAGUAGGUGGGGUAACGGCUCACCUAGGCGACGAUCCCUAGCUGGUCUGAGAGGAUGACCAGCCACACUGGAACUGAGACACGGUCCAGACUCCUACGGGAGGCAGCAGUGGGGAAUAUUGCACAAUGGGCGCAAGCCUGAUGCAGCCAUGCCGCGUGUAUGAAGAAGGCCUUCGGGUUGUAAAGUACUUUCAGCGGGGAGGAA
This 295-nucleotide ribosomal RNA is filed under the name Pantoea brenneri. Its description in RNAcentral is "partial 16S ribosomal RNA". It matches the Rfam family "Bacterial small subunit ribosomal RNA", at positions 152 to 449 of the family's 1533-position model. The record is from RNAcentral. Lineage: Bacteria; Pseudomonadati; Pseudomonadota; Gammaproteobacteria; Enterobacterales; Erwiniaceae.